Long non-coding RNA from Vicugna pacos (alpaca), 2314 nucleotides. RefSeq lists it as uncharacterized. NCBI's taxonomy places the organism in Eukaryota, Metazoa, Chordata, Mammalia, Artiodactyla, Camelidae. The record is from RefSeq and is a predicted model, not a curated record.
GGAGGGCGCGCCCGUCCCAGCCCAGAGCCGCUCGCUGGUACCCGAGCCCGUCGGCGGCGGAGGCUGGCGCGGGGUGUGCCCGGCCGCCGCCCCGGGAGCUGGGAACCGGGCGAACCCCGGUGCUUCUGCCCCCUAGAUGGCGGCUGUCUGGGAUCUUUAAUCCGGAUGUCGCAAGGACUCCGGGAGACAGCCUAGGACGGCUGUCGUUUUCGUCCACAGGAGCCUCGGUCUGCAGAGGAACUUAGCCAGGCCCUCGUUUGCCCGGGGUCUGGAGUCUGAGCCGGCUGGCACUGGCCACCUUGGAGGCCGGCGUCCCCGGGCCGCUUCUCUUCCCGGGCUCCUUCCUUUCCUGGGCUCCGGAGGGGGUCAGACCUCCCCCGAUGCUAAUGGCUUGGCUGUCAGAGCGUCGGAAGGACAGCUGGUACUCAUGAGCUCUCCAGAGAGCCCCCGUCACUAAAGGCUGAGGGAGACCCCUGAGCCCGCGGAGCUCCAGGCCAAAGAGGGAAUUCUAGGGCCGGGCCCAGGAGGCUGAAAAUAAGGACAACAAAGUAACAGCUAACACUGAAUGAGGAAAGUGAAGCACAGAGGCCUUAAAUCUCUCUGGGUCUCAGUUUCCUGAAAAUCCAACACUUCUGAAGGAAUACCAGAAGCAGCUGCAACCACGCAGCCUAGGAAGCCCUCAAGAACCUGGCGGUGGGAAAGUCUAGGCGCUCGCUCAAACGGGAAGGGGUCUGCAGGAGCCCGAGGAGAACGGCCAACUGGUGGGAAGCUGGAAGAUUUUUUACAUGACGCAGGCUUCGCGGACUGUGAGAGUGUGACGGAUUCUUAAAGACCUGGAUCCCACCUGCCUCAAAUGAAAGCAGUUUAACGCCAGAGGUAUGGGAUAUGUGAUAAGUAUCUUCCAGGCUCACCGGUUUUACUCUUGGAAGUUGUAUGUGGGAAGUUUAGUAAUUUAAGGUAUUUUGAUACCAAAUAUGGAUGUUUGGGAAAUGCAAAUUGUUCAUUGAUCAAGAUUAAACACAAGGCUUCUAGAAAUUUCGGGCUUACAGCUUAACAAGGCUGGCUUUGGAGAGUGUGAUGUCGCCACCCCCAUCUCCUCCACACCGCCCCGCCCGGCCCACCCGGCACUGACUGCAUCAGGACCUCAAGUUGGAGGUCCAACGUCAGCGCGUCUAGAAAGGCUCCCAGGUGACUCUCAUGUUCAGGUAGAAUUAGCAGCGACAGCUCAAGGGUGUUUGCUCUUGAAACUUAGAGCAAGAGGUAGAAAAGUCUGGAACGCACUCCCUCAGCGCUGGUUUCUGGUCUCUUUGUAGAUGAACUAGUGAUUCUAAGUGAUCUCGUGAUAAAUCUAUUGGGGAGCUUUGCUGGAUCAAACCAGUGUUAACAUCAUGCCCUGGAGGAUGAGGAAGUCCACGAGCUUGGUUCUAGGGGGCCUGGGCGGUGCGCAGCGUGCUAGAGAUGCUGGAUACAGAUGUGUCAGAGAGCACCAGGGUCUCACACUUAGGUGUUUUUCACGGCUUUUGAUAAUGGGGAGUAAAUGCUCUAAGGAUGCCUCUCAAAGCUCUGUAACUGUAAGGCAGCAUCCUCCAGCCUCUCCUGAGGCCUGGAGGUGAUGCUUCCUUCACGGAGCCAGGGUCAGGUGGGAAAACCACAGAAAAAUAAGACUUUCUAGAGAGGUGCAAUUAGCCUAGAUUUUCAGAUAAAAUAUUGGCACUCAGAACAUGGAUUCCUAGGCAUUGUAGUUCUUGUUUGUUCCAUGAACACCUGUCAUUUACCAAAUAGAUUCUGAGGCAACUUGGUGGAGCUGCCGGGCUUAUGAACAGUGUGUCCUAGCUGGGAAGUACAGCUGAGGGAGGGCCCGUUAGCUAUAAAGCCAGCCCUUGGGGAACAGUGGUCUGGGGCCUGGGAGUGGAAAGAUCUCUGGAGGCCCUGGAAAGUGCGAGAGACAGCUUUUUAAGAAGGGGCCUGAGGUUCGGGGAUACAGACUGUGGCAUCUCAAUCAAAAUGGAAACUGUACAGAGCAGGGGUGAACACGGGCGUCAUAUUCACAGGCUGAAUGCCAGUUCUGCCCCUCCCUGUGUGACCGUGGCAUGUUCAUUCAUCCGAGGUGGUCUUCUUAUCUGUGGGGGGUGGGGUGCUACUUCCCUCACAGAGUUUAAGGAUUAAAUGCGAUUGUAUAUGAAACAUCUAGUAGUAUGCUUAACACAGGUGCUUAUAAAUGGUGGUUAUUUUAGCCAUUUAAGAACAUUUUUCUGUCCCUUGCUCAUACAGUGGCUAAUAUGUCAAACUUGCUCAAGUUGAUUGGCUAAACGAG